Molecule: long non-coding RNA, 232 nt
Filed under: Mytilus galloprovincialis (Mediterranean mussel)
Lineage: Eukaryota; Metazoa; Mollusca; Bivalvia; Mytilida; Mytilidae
Source: RNAcentral
AUCAGCUGAUCAUGGACGACGAUAUAUUUAUUACUGAAGCCGAAGCCUUGGAGCUUGGAAAAUAAUUCGACAUCGAAACGUUUUGCAUAUGCAAGUCAAAUAACUCCACAGACCUGAUUUGCUGUUCGAUUGAUGACUGUGAAAUUAAUUUCUUUCACAGAAAAUGUGCAAGUGAACCACCCGUAAAUGAAGAAUGGACCUGUUUCACCUGUCGUGGCAUCCAACACCCACA